Long non-coding RNA from Papaver somniferum (opium poppy), 163 nucleotides. RefSeq lists it as uncharacterized. NCBI's taxonomy places the organism in Eukaryota, Viridiplantae, Streptophyta, Magnoliopsida, Ranunculales, Papaveraceae. The record is from RefSeq and is a predicted model, not a curated record. The transcript has 3 exons.
GAGGAACAAAAGCAAAAACAAAACUCUCAUAGAGUAGUUUUUGUUUUUAAUCUGUGUGAAGUGUUUGAUAGAUUUUCUUAUAGCGUCCUUAUUUCUUAUUUUGGUUUAUGAGCAAUGCUUUGUUGAUUUCUUUGAAUUGUGGGGGCAUUUUCGGGUUUGAAGC